GAUGAAGAACGUAGCGAAAUGCGAUACGUAAUGUGAAUUGAAGAAUUCAGUGAAUCAUCGAAUCUUUGAACGCACAUUGCGCCCUUUGGUAUUCCUUAGGGCAUGCCUGUUCGAGCGUCAUUUGAAACCUCAAGCUCAGCUUGGUGUUGGGUGUCUGUCCCCGCCUCACCGCGGGGACUCGCCUCAAAAUCAUUGGCGGCCGGUACGUUGGCUUCGAGCGCAGCAGAAACGCGAACUCGAGGCCCGGCGGAUCGGCGACCAGAAGUCACUUCUUCACAGUUUGACCUCGGAUCAGGUAGGGAUACCCGCUGAACUUAAGCAUAUCAAUAAGCGGAGGA
Molecule: unclassified non-coding RNA, 338 nt
Filed under: soil metagenome
Description: partial contains 5.8S ribosomal RNA, internal transcribed spacer 2, and large subunit ribosomal RNA
Rfam family: 5.8S ribosomal RNA (bases 1-120)
Source: RNAcentral